UUGGCGGUUAAAGCUCCG
This 18-nucleotide unclassified non-coding RNA is filed under the name Mus musculus (house mouse). RNAcentral describes it as "oocyte_clustered_small_RNA14274". The record is from RNAcentral. Lineage: Eukaryota; Metazoa; Chordata; Mammalia; Rodentia; Muridae.